RNAcentral lists this ribosomal RNA (440 nucleotides) under uncultured bacterium. RNAcentral describes it as "partial 16S ribosomal RNA". It matches the Rfam family "Bacterial small subunit ribosomal RNA", at positions 338 to 795 of the family's 1533-position model. The record is from RNAcentral.
CCUACGGGUGGCUGCAGUGGGGAAUAUUGCACAAUGGGGGAAAGACUGAUGCAGCAACGCCGCGUGAGUGAAGACGUAUCUCGGUAUGUAAAGCUCUAUCAGCAGGGAAGCAGAUGACGGUACCUGAUUAAGAAGCCCCGGAUAAAUACGUGCCAGCAGCCGCGGUAAUACGUAGGGGGCAAGCGUUAUCCGGAUUUACUGGGGGUAAAGGGAGCGCAGACGGCAGUGCAGGUGUGGAGUGAAAGCCCGGGGCCCAACCCCCGAACUGUUCUGGAAACUGUGCGGCUAGAGUACUGGAGGGGCAUGCGGAAUUCCUAGUGUAGCGGUGAAAUGCGUAGAUAUUAGGAGGAACACCAGUGGCGAAGGCGGCCUGCUGGACAGUAACUGACGCUGAGGCUCGAAAGCGUGGGGAGCAAACAGGAUUAGAUACCCCAGUAGUC